AAACAUAGUAUAUAGACUUUAUUAUAUAUGGGAUUUGGUCAAUGAAAAAGAAAAUAAUAAUUUUCUUUUUUUAAUUCAUGCCUUACUUCGAGGAGGGUAAUAAAGUAGCAUAAUAAUUUGAUAUUUAAUUGAUGUCUAGAAUGAAUAGUGAAACGAUUAUAAAAUUGUCUUGAAAAUAAAAAAAAAAUUAAAUUAAUAGUUAAGAUUCUAUUAUAAAAAGGAAAGACGAUAAGACCCUAUAAAUCUUUACUAAAUUUUAUAAUUUCUUUUUUACAAAAAUUUAUAAAUAGUUAGUUUAGCUGGGGCAGCUGUUAUUUAUAAAAAAAAUAACUUUUUUGUUUAUUUUAUUAAAUUAACAAUUAUUAUAAUAUAUUUGACCUUAUAAAUAAUAAUAUUUUAUAAUUUAAAUAAUAAAAGAUACUUUAGGGAUAACAGCGUAAUUUAAAAAUAGAGAUGAAAUCAAAUUUUAAGUUUGCGACCUCGAUGUUGAAUUUAGAUAUCCUUCAAUUGUAGAAGAUUGAAAAGGUUAGAUUGUUCAUCUAUUAAAAUCUUACAU
This 556-nucleotide ribosomal RNA is filed under the name Halammohydra sp. R75. Its description in RNAcentral is "partial large subunit ribosomal RNA". The stretch from base 428 to 556 matches the Rfam family "Archaeal large subunit ribosomal RNA", at positions 2542 to 2670 of the family's 2987-position model. The record is from RNAcentral. Lineage: Eukaryota; Metazoa; Cnidaria; Hydrozoa; Actinulida; Halammohydridae.